This 423-nucleotide ribosomal RNA is filed under the name uncultured bacterium. Its description in RNAcentral is "partial 16S ribosomal RNA". It matches the Rfam family "Bacterial small subunit ribosomal RNA", at positions 359 to 774 of the family's 1533-position model. The record is from RNAcentral.
GAUUAUCUUAGAAUGAGCGAAAGACUGAUCAAGACAUGCCGCGUGUGUGAAGAAGUUCUUCGUAUUGUAAAGCACCAUAUGUGGGGAGGAUGGGCUGUAAGCGAAUAAAUCGAUAUAUUGACGCAACCGAACGAAUACACACCGGCUACUCGUGUGCCAGCACCCGCGGUAAUACAGUGGGAGCCAGCGUUAAUCGGCAGUACUGGGCGUAAAGCACGCGUAGGUGGUUCGUUAAGUAUGUUUUGAGAUCCCCGGGCUCGACCUGGGAACUGCAUCCAAAAAUGGCGCGCUAGAGUAUGGCAGAGGGUGGUGGAAUUUCCUGUGUAGCGGUGAAAUGCGUAGUUAUAGGAAGGAACACCAGUGGCGAAGGCGACCGCCUGGGCUCAUACUGACACUGAGGUGCGAAAGCGUGGUGAGCAAACA